GAGAAGGUUCCAGCAUUCUGCAGAGAUCGAAUUCUCCCAACAAUGGCGUCGAAGGUUUCUCUUAGAAGCAAGGGCAAGAGCUCCAAGGGUUCAUCGAAGUCAUCUGAGGAGAAAUCCGCAACCCAAGCCUUCAAGGAGUGGACUACUUGGGCCGUAAAGAAAGCCAAGGUCAUCACCCACUAUGGCUUUAUUCCUCUGGUUAUCAUAAUUGGCAUGAACUCUGAGCCUAAGCCUCAGCUCUCUCAACUUCUCAGCCCCGUCUGAUCUGAUUGCUUUCUAUACGUUCGUUUCCAAGAUUUAGCGCUUUUCAUGAUGGAUCGGUGCCUUUUUUUGUGGAUUCACAACUUGGGUUUCUGUUUUAUAUGGAUGUUUUUUUGGGGCUAGAUAGCGUAUAAAUUUUAGGUCAGUUCGGGUACUAUAAUACUGCCCUGCUUGUGUUUGGCAUGCUUGAACUAUAGACAUGUAAUAAUUU
This 472-nucleotide unclassified non-coding RNA is filed under the name Hevea brasiliensis (rubber tree). The record is from RNAcentral. Lineage: Eukaryota; Viridiplantae; Streptophyta; Magnoliopsida; Malpighiales; Euphorbiaceae.